CUGGCACCUUGAUCUUGAACAUUCUAGCCUCCAGAACUGUGAGAAAUAAAUUUCUGUUGUUUAUAAGUCACCCACUUAUAGCAUUUUAUUACAGCAGCCUGAAAAGAUGAAGACAGAGGGACAGCCAGACCUUCACUCGGUGUGAGGUGUGUGGAGUUAUUAGUGGGUCUCUCCUUUGAGUGAAGUUUAUCAAGUUCCAUUUUUUUCUUCUUAAAAGCAGGUUAAGCAGGGGUGCUGAAUCUGGGGUUCCUCAGACUCCCAAGGCAUCUGUGGAUAUAAUUCAAGGAGUCUGUGAUCUUGGAUGAGACAAAUAUUUAACAUUUUUAUUUGCACUAAUCUCUUACCACACCUAGCAUUUUCUUUACUGUAACUACAGGAAACAAA
This 384-nucleotide long non-coding RNA is filed under the name Homo sapiens (human). RNAcentral's name for it is "HSALNT0348837". Lineage: Eukaryota; Metazoa; Chordata; Mammalia; Primates; Hominidae. The record is from RNAcentral.